This 465-nucleotide ribosomal RNA is filed under the name Vreelandella stevensii. RNAcentral describes it as "partial 16S ribosomal RNA". It matches the Rfam family "Bacterial small subunit ribosomal RNA", at positions 338 to 795 of the family's 1533-position model. The record is from RNAcentral. Lineage: Bacteria; Pseudomonadati; Pseudomonadota; Gammaproteobacteria; Oceanospirillales; Halomonadaceae.
CCUACGGGAGGCAGCAGUGGGGAAUAUUGGACAAUGGGGGCAACCCUGAUCCAGCCAUGCCGCGUGUGUGAAGAAGGCCCUCGGGUUGUAAAGCACUUUCAGUGAGGAAGAACGCCUGGUGGUUAAUACCCAUCAGGAAAGACAUCACUCACAGAAGAAGCCCCGGCUAACUCCGUGCCAGCAGCCGCGGUAAUACGGAGGGUGCGAGCGUUAAUCGGAAUUACUGGGCGUAAAGCGCGCGUAGGUGGCUUGAUAAGCCGGUUGUGAAAGCCCCGGGCUCAACCUGGGAACGGCAUCCGGAACUGUCAAGCUAGAGUGCAGGAGAGGAAGGUAGAAUUCCCGGUGUAGCGGUGAAAUGCGUAGAGAUCGGGAGGAAUACCAGUGGCGAAGGCGGCCUUCUGGACUGACACUGACACUGAGGUGCGAAAGCGUGGGUAGCAAACAGGAUUAGAUACCCUUGUAGUC